Long non-coding RNA from Rattus norvegicus (Norway rat), 913 nucleotides. RefSeq lists it as uncharacterized. NCBI's taxonomy places the organism in Eukaryota, Metazoa, Chordata, Mammalia, Rodentia, Muridae. The record is from RefSeq and is a predicted model, not a curated record.
GUACAACAUAUAAUAGUAGUACCAGGUCAACAUGUAAUAAGAGUUGGGAGACAUUACUUUGUGGGAUAUCUAUAAAACUAAGCGUCCUUAACGGUCAGUAUUUCCGCAGUGUCAGGGUUCGGUUCACCUAUUACACUGUUGCAUAUCCACUGACAGAGUAAAGCCAGGAAUGGUCCGGGAAGCAUCAGUCUGUCUUCCACAAGCCCAGUCCUGGGUGUUAGCAGAGACCCUGUGCAAUGGUUUCAUGGGAUUCUCCAACUCAUAAGCAAGGGCAAGCAAAGUGCACCUCCUAGGAUCCCGCAUCACUAUGGCAACAGGAGGUUUGCAGGCACUGACAGAUGUGAACUAAUACUGGGCAGCUCCAAGUAGAUCCAACUUGGAAUUGACAGAGCCCAGUAAGAGUCGCUGACCCAUCAAGACUCUUUUUGUCGUUGGUGGGGUUAUGAUAAAGCCGGGAACCUUCCUAGGAACAGUAGACAGAAUAUCAAACCCGGCACGUGCUCGACCCUUAGGGCUGCGGACCCCCGCCUCUCUCGGCGCUACUCUGGCGUCACCAUGGCUACUCCAGGACGAGGCCAAGUUUUCUCGGCCCCUUUAAGAGAACAGACUGCUACCCGAGAGCGCCUUCCCGCGCCUGUAGGAGCUUGCGUCACCAUGGGUUCUCUAUACAAAGGAGAUUAGCUGUCUGUAGCCUCUACAGGUGAGGUGGUGAAUUCAGCAAAAAUGAUCUCCUCAUCAGGAACAGCGGGAGCAAGCGGCAGCUGCUGAGACCCUGACAGGCGCUGGUGCUGUGCGAUUCUGAGAUUGGAGAGGAAGUUUCCUGAUGUGUACUCUAAUCUCUAGUAAAUGAAACACCAAUGUGCUUGAGGGUACAGUGAAACUGUUUCUACCACAAAUAAAAACCACCGAGGAA